Molecule: ribosomal RNA, 497 nt
Filed under: uncultured bacterium
Lineage: Bacteria
Description: partial 16S ribosomal RNA
Rfam family: Bacterial small subunit ribosomal RNA
Source: RNAcentral
GAUGAACGCUGGCGGCGUGCCUAAUACAUGCAAGUCGAGCGAACGGACGAGACGCUUGCUUCUCUGAUGUUAGCGGCGGACGUGUGAGUAACACGUGGAUACCCUACCUAUCUGACUGGGAUAUCUUCGGGACACCGGAGCUAAUCCCGGAUAAUCUUUUGAACCGUAUGGUUCAAUAGUGAAAGACGGUCUUGCUGUCACUUAUAGAUGGAUCCGCGCUGCAUUAGCUAGUUGGUACGGUACCGGCUUACCAAGGCAACGAUGCAUAGCCGACGUGAGAGGGGGAUCGGCCGCACGGGAACGUAGACACGGUCCAUAGUCCUAAGGGAGGCAGCAGAAGCGAACCGGAGGCAGGGGGCGAAAACCUUACAGAGCAACGCGGAGCGAGUGAUGAAGGUCUUCGGAGCGGAAAGCUCGGUUAUGAGUGAAAAACAUAUUUGGAAGGUACUGAGCACAGCGUGACGGUACCGAAUAAGAAAGCCACGGCUAACUACGUG